GAAGGUAGUUUCUCGCGCAGUCGGGCUCUGAGGAGUCUAGGGUGCGGGGUAAAGGGGAGGACGCACGGUCUCCUGAACGCCUUUGAUUUUGCAGUUUGAAGAUGGGGCUCCCCUGGUGCUGGGUGGAGGAGCGGCCGCGUCGAACGUCCCGCCCCAGCCCAGGGCCUGGCAGGGCUGGACUGACGGAGAAGGUUUUGAAGGUGGAGCUGGCCCAGGAUGGACCGGCUGUCCAGGCACCCCAGCUCCUCGUUGCCGCGGGGCUCUUGGGGCUGGGCAUCGGGUAGUACCCCAGCACUGGCCGCCCUAGGGCGGACCUUGGGCAGAACUGUGAGUCGGUGAGUUGACUGUCCAGCCUCCACUCCAGAGUUAGGUCCUGGGAUGAGAAUCUAGAAACCUGGAUCUGAUUCAGGCUCCGUUUUUGAUUCAGUGUUUAACUCCUCUAAGUCCAGAAACGGUGUUAUAAGGCCCUCCGUUUUUUCCUCUGGGAUUGUUGCGUGGUGAUGACAUGGCUGUGUAGGCUGCACGGCUCUCUAAGGACAUAAACAGACUUUCCCAUUCACUGUAAAUUGGUGCAACUUCUUGGAAAGAUAUUAAAUGAUGACUCACAAAAUUUAAAAUGUGCAUAACCUUUGCUUUAGCAAUUCUAGAAAUCCAUAGUACAGAUUUAGUGGCUAAGUAUGUGGAAAGAUGUAUAUACAGGAGUGAUUAAUGAGACAUUGCUUGAAAUGGGAUUAAAAAGUGUUCAUCCAUAAAUAACCGCCUAAAUAAAUGAUGAAU
This 777-nucleotide long non-coding RNA is filed under the name Marmota monax (woodchuck). Lineage: Eukaryota; Metazoa; Chordata; Mammalia; Rodentia; Sciuridae. The record is from RNAcentral.